GAGAAGAAAAUGAGAAAAAACUUAUAGAAUACAUUAAUUGGCAACAUUUCAUUUUUAUGGAGUCAAACUACUAAUUAACUCCACACAAACUUCGGAUAAAUUAAACUAAAUACAUUACAUCCAUUAUUUUCUUAAAAGCGGAAAACAAAAUCCUCCUAAAUGAAGAAGUAAUUAAAACAUUAUUAUAAAUAAAAAUAUUUUUUAACAUAAUUUCAAAUGAAUUAUUUAAAAUUAAAGAAAGUUAUUACUUAUACAAAUAAAAACAUUAUUUUAAUAUGAAUCUCACAUACAUAAACUGUUUAGAAUUAAGUUAUGUAAGUGGGAUAGCAUCAAAAUAAUAUUUUUAUUGAUGAAUAACUCAUUUUAAUUUUAAUUAAUAUAUCUUGAAACUACAUUAAAAUAACAUUCUUAUUUAUGAUAGUUGUUAUUUAUUACCGAAAGUACACAAUCGGAGACCCGUGCACUAUCUUACCAUCACUAAAAACUUCCACUUGCACAUGAUAACCUGAAAAUGUAUCUACAAAGAAUCUAGGAUCACUCAGGAUAUGCCCUCGUUGUGGUUCAUCCAAUCAUCCCACAACAUACACAAAAAUGCUACAUAGUACAGAAAGAAAAAGGAACAUUUUUGGGAUGAACUUUGGAACCUAAUCAUCCCAAAGGAAAAGGUGACAGACCCAACUAAUGUUUCUGCAUUUUCAUAUUUUCAUCUGAGAGUGGAAGGAUCAGUGAUGGUGAGGAUCUGGACCACCAGGACUUAGACGGUUGGGCUUAUAUUGUGUUCCCAACAACUGCUUCCUUUUUAUGAUCUCCUUCAACACUGUUUUGGCACUCUCCAAAAAUGCAUGAUUUUCGUUUGUGCUUGGAAGUGAAGAAGGAAGAGGCCUGGCAUCAUGGCAGACCAACAUUGAUGUGAAGAAAAGGACAAGGCAUAAAUGUUUCAAACUUGCCAUUGAAAAGGAUUUCAAGAUAUGUAUCGAAACCAGCCAAAGUGGUGCAGAGAUUCUAAGCUGUGAUAGUUGGAAUAUAUAUAGGCUCAUGAAAUUGUCGUUUAGUUAUGAAUUUUUAUUUGACACAUGUGUAGGAAAAUAAUAUAUGGGUCAAAUAGCAUUCAUAGUGAUGAUGGUAAAUUGGUUCUGUCGUCAGAUAUAUAGCGUGCGCACUUCUAUUGCAAAGUCAAUCACUGAUGAGUGCUUAGUUUUUAAUAAACUACAUAAUCAAUGUUCUUAUCGGAUCUCUAUAAGGUAAACCAGA
RNAcentral lists this long non-coding RNA (1251 nucleotides) under Phaseolus vulgaris (common bean). RNAcentral describes it as "long non-coding RNA (PVUL_LNC002944)". Lineage: Eukaryota; Viridiplantae; Streptophyta; Magnoliopsida; Fabales; Fabaceae. The record is from RNAcentral.